This 491-nucleotide ribosomal RNA is filed under the name Shigella sonnei. Its description in RNAcentral is "bacterial SSU rRNA". It matches the Rfam family "Bacterial small subunit ribosomal RNA", at positions 1 to 481 of the family's 1533-position model. The record is from RNAcentral. Lineage: Bacteria; Pseudomonadati; Pseudomonadota; Gammaproteobacteria; Enterobacterales; Enterobacteriaceae.
AAAUUGAAGAGUUUGAUCAUGGCUCAGAUUGAACGCUGGCGGCAGGCCUAACACAUGCAAGUCGAACGGUAACAGGAAACAGCUUGCUGUUUCGCUGACGAGUGGCGGACGGGUGAGUAAUGUCUGGGAAACUGCCUGAUGGAGGGGGAUAACUACUGGAAACGGUAGCUAAUACCGCAUAAUGUCGCAAGACUAAAGAGGGGGACCUUCGGGCCUCUUGCCAUCGGAUGUGCCCAGAUGGGAUUAGCUAGUAGGUGGGGUAACGGCUCACCUAGGCGACGAUCCCUAGCUGGUCUGAGAGGAUGACCAGCCACACUGGAACUGAGACACGGUCCAGACUCCUACGGGAGGCAGCAGUGGGGAAUAUUGCACAAUGGGCGCAAGCCUGAUGCAGCCAUGCCGCGUGUAUGAAGAAGGCCUUCGGGUUGUAAAGUACUUUCAGCGGGGAGGAAGGGAGUAAAGUUAAUACCUUUACUCAUUGACGUUACCCG